RNAcentral lists this ribosomal RNA (278 nucleotides) under uncultured bacterium. RNAcentral's name for it is "partial 16S ribosomal RNA". It matches the Rfam family "Bacterial small subunit ribosomal RNA", at positions 29 to 334 of the family's 1533-position model. The record is from RNAcentral.
AACGAACGCUGGCGGCAGGCCUAAUACAUGCAAGUUGAACGAACCCCUCGGGGUGAGUGGCGCACGGGUGAGUAACACGUGGGAAUCUACACUAGGGUACGGAAUAACUGCGGGAAACCUCAGCUAAUACCGUAUAAUGGCUCCGGCCCAAAGAUUUAUCGCCCUAGAAUGAGCCCGCGCUGGAUUAGGUAGUUGGUGAGGUAAAAGCUCACCAAGCCGACGAUCUAUAGCUGGUCUGAGAGGAUGAUCAGCCACACUGGUACUGAGACACGGACCAG